UACGUAGGGUGCGAGCGUUAAUCGGAAUUACUGGGCGUAAAGCGUGCGUAGGUGGUUUGUUAAGUCUGCUGUGAAAGCCCUGGGCUCAACCUGGGAAUGGCGGUGGAUACUGACAAGCUAGAGUACGGAAGAGGCGAGUGGAAUUCCCGGUGUAGCGGUGAAAUGCGCAGAUAUCGGGAGGAACACCUAUUGCGAAGGCAGCUCGCUGGGACGUUACUGACGCUGAGACGCGAAAGCGUGGGGAGCAAACAGG
This 253-nucleotide ribosomal RNA is filed under the name uncultured bacterium. RNAcentral describes it as "partial 16S ribosomal RNA". It matches the Rfam family "Bacterial small subunit ribosomal RNA", at positions 524 to 776 of the family's 1533-position model. The record is from RNAcentral.